RNAcentral lists this long non-coding RNA (2995 nucleotides) under Elaeis guineensis (African oil palm). RNAcentral describes it as "long non-coding RNA (EGUI_LNC075175)". Lineage: Eukaryota; Viridiplantae; Streptophyta; Magnoliopsida; Arecales; Arecaceae. The record is from RNAcentral.
UUGAAAUUUUGUAUCUUGUUACAUAUGAAUCCUUUAUAUUAAAUUAAUUAGACUGAUUAUAUUCCUCAGAUGCCGUUAAUUUCAUUCUUCUAUACAUUGUUGGAAAAGGGACGGACUUUUCUUAAGAAGUGAGUCCAAGCGAUGCUAGGCUCUACGAUGGGAGUGAAACUGGGGGGGCAAUCUCAUCUCUCACUUUGCAUUAUUUAAGUAGGGGAUACUCUUUAUAUCAUACAUGACCGUGAAUUAUAUAAACAAUAAUUAAUCAUGUCCAAUUUCAGAAUCAGCUCGAAAAUGUCAUCUCGGGGUGCCAAUUUUUUUUAGUAAGGAGUCAUUUAGCUCUUUUUUUUUUGGUAGAACAUUUAGCUCACUUUGAUACAAGGUCAUUAAAUAUGCUUCUCCUGAAGAGGGCAAGACCAGUUCACCAAAACAAAAUGGUCAUAUUACUGAUAUUAAGAGAAAUGCGCAUGGAGAAGAGACACGUUGAAAGAUAAAUUAAGGAAAAAAGAAUUACCUAACUCUGCAAACAUGGUUCAACAUAUUCCCUCACUAUUUUUAAUCUCUCUAUAUUAUUCUAAUAGAACAUUUUAGGAUCUGGAAUGGGUAAAAAACAAAUAGAAAUUGGUGAAAGCUCCCUAUCUUUUAUCAAUGAAAUCAUAUAUAAUGGUAGCAAGUGAUCCUUGGAUGGUGAUUGUUGCUUGUAAGUGAUGAAAUUCGUUCGCCUCCCCACUAGCUGAUUAAACCAUAACUUUCAAAGUAGGGGAUAAUCUCAAGCAUGCAAUUCACUUAGGAACUCUAUAUUAUUUGAGAACAAGGACAAAAAAUAAGCAACAGUAAGCCAGAAGAAUUGAUCAUAUCGUCUUGACCACCCGCAGUAUAUAGCUACACACCAACCACUAUAGAAGAAACUAGGCCCAAAAUAGUUUGCUAGAGAUGAAUCAUCGACAGGAUAUUGCAAUUAGAGUGCAAUAUGUAAUUAUCGAAAAUCUACACCAAUGCCAAGAAUUUCUGCUCCAACAAGCCCAACAACAACCAUGCAUGCUUUCUAGGCAGCAAAGUUACCAUUGAACAACAAAAAUAAUGGAAAUGGCAGAGAUGGCCUCAAAAGAGAGAUCCAUUCAGCUUACUUUCUAUUCAUAAAGAUCCUUGGGAUCACUUGGGUAUUUUCUGUUAGGUUCCGAUCAAGCAGCACAAAGUUGGAUUUCAAAAUUAUUUAUGAAGUCCAAGAAAACCCAAAACCCUGAACCCUAGGAUCCCCUUGAUGUAUUCAACCAAAUUAACAAAUUAUAAUGAAUUGAAGCAUAUAAUCAUAUAAAUACCUCGAAACGCUAUUUCCAAUAUUUCCACAAGUAUACAAGUGUGUACCCUCCAACUGAUGAUCUACACAGGAACUGGUUCAAAAAGACGCUCCUUAAAUUUGAACGUCGGACUCAAGUGCACCUUGACUCGAUUUGGUCGAACCACUUUCUGAGACUAACUUAGGCCUCUUCUUGGCUUCUUCGCAACUUGACUAGCCCUUUUAAGAUUCUUCUAGCGCCUUGUCCUAAAUCUAAUUAGACUUAGAUUAGACUAGAAGGACUUGUCCUAAAGGGCUAAGGGUGUAAGAGAGAGAGGGAAAGAGUUUCUUAUUUUAAUAGGACAAGAAGGCUGAAUUGAUUCAAAUGCCCUCUUCUCAUCUACCGACCUCUAUUUAUAUUUGAAGAGGGGGUGUGUGAAGCAUCUCCCCAAGUGUUCCAACCGCCACAUCAAUUGGCAUAUUAAAAUUUAAAAGACUUAUAUGAUAAAGUCUCUUCGGGAACACAUACGUCAUUUUACAACCUCUCACGUGCGCAUCCGAGAAAAGAAGCCUAUGGCAUCCCAAUUUUAAAUCAGAAAACCUCUGAUUUUGCCACGUGUAAAUGGAGGUUUUUUCAGAGUUUAUCUAACGUAAAUGGAUGCUCAAAAUCAGAUUGAGAUAAGCCUCCUUUUGCCUUAAAGCAGGACUCUUAGGCGACUCUUCAUGAGUUCUGCACGUGCGUGCCUUGCAAUCUCCCUCUUCCAUGCCAUAAUUUGCCAACACAUGCCAUAAAAAAUGUGCUAGGCCGAUGGGUGGUUGGAUAAGGAUCCACAUGUGUCUUAAACCCAUCUAAGGACUCUCCAAGCCCCUCCAUGCCAAAAAUUACUGCCGCCCACCAUUAUUUGCGCCAAGAUGAGAUAGAGUCCAUUCUACUUUGGACUUUAUCUAUUUCACACCAAUUUGGGCCAUGUGGCGCCAUCUCAUAGCUGCCCACAUCUAAGAAAAAUCCAAAUUAAUGCUCAAUUAAUUUGGUUCACAAAUUAAAUCGGAUUCAAAUCGAAAUUGAUCAAAAUAGAAAUUAGGAUUAGCCUACAAGUGCUAGCUUGUCAUUUAACCACUCAAUUAGGAUCUGACUCAUAAAUUAAUUCAAAUAAAAUUUUUGAUCAAUUUUUUUAUGUGGGUGAUCUAUUGGACUCCACACCUAGUCAGCAGUAGAUUCGAAUACAUGUUGACCUGAUUUGAUUAGACUCUAUCUAAUCAAUUUAAAUCAAACUCAUGUAGACUCGAGUUGUCAAAUUAGAACCUUUUCUAAUUGACUUAUGAAAUAAUCUUUUUAAUUCAUAAAAACCUAUGUCUUGAUUGACAUAUAGCACCACGUCAUGCUUAUCCAAAAGACGUAGAAUAUUUUGAUAGAAAUACCUUCAGUGGUAAAUUAUCGUGCAAUUUAAUCCUUCAAUCAUCUUUCAUCCUGAAUAAGUAAUGGGUAUGAAAAAAUGUCAAACCCUAAUACUUACUCAAAUAAAUCUUAAUUCACUAAUGAUGACUCAACUUAUGAAACAUUAGAAAUUAUUUUUUAAUUUUCAUCUUACUUUGAUCAAAGACUUCCUGAGUCAUCAAUUGAUAAGAUUGCUUAAGAUGAUAUCUCCCAUUACCAGGAGUGAUCGAUUUCUUGUUGACUUAUUCACUACCUCCAUAUAUAUCUCACCAUAUUUAAAACACCCC